UCCCAAAUAGCUCAGUUGGUUAGAGCAUCUGACUGUUAAUCAGAGGGUCACAGGUUCAAGUCCUGUUUUGGGAG
RNAcentral lists this transfer RNA (74 nucleotides) under Filimonas lacunae. It matches the Rfam family "tRNA". From Rfam's summary of the family: Transfer RNA (tRNA) molecules are approximately 80 nucleotides in length. Their secondary structure includes four short double-helical elements and three loops (D, anti-codon, and T loops). The record is from Rfam by way of RNAcentral. Lineage: Bacteria; Pseudomonadati; Bacteroidota; Chitinophagia; Chitinophagales; Chitinophagaceae.